RNAcentral lists this ribosomal RNA (466 nucleotides) under uncultured bacterium. RNAcentral describes it as "bacterial SSU rRNA". It matches the Rfam family "Bacterial small subunit ribosomal RNA", at positions 917 to 1382 of the family's 1533-position model. The record is from RNAcentral.
GGGCCCGCACAAGCGGAGGAACAUGUGGUUUAAUUCGAUGAUACGCGAGGAACCUUACCCGGGCUUGAAAUGCUAUCGACGGACUUGGAAACAGGUCUUCCAGCAAUGGCGAUAGUGUAGGUGCUGCAUGGUUGUCGUCAGCUCGUGCCGUGAGGUGUCGGCUUAAGUGCCAUAACGAGCGCAACCCUUAUCAUUAGUUACUAACAGGUCACGCUGAGGACUCUAAUGAGACUGCCACCGUAAGGUGUGAGGAAGGUGGGGAUGACGUCAAAUCAGCACGGCCCUUACGUCCGGGGCGACACACGUGUUACAAUGGGGGGUACAGAGGGUCGCUACCACGCGAGUGGAUGCCAAUCUCGUAAAGCCUCUCUCAGUUCGGAUCGGAGUCUGCAACUCGACUCCGUGAAGCUGGAUUCGCUAGUAAUCGCGCAUCAGCCAUGGCGCGGUGAAUACGUUCCCGGGCCUU